Molecule: ribosomal RNA, 460 nt
Filed under: uncultured bacterium
Lineage: Bacteria
Description: partial 16S ribosomal RNA
Rfam family: Bacterial small subunit ribosomal RNA
Source: RNAcentral
CCUACGGGUGGCAGCAGUGAGGAAUAUUGGUCAAUGGGCGUAAGCCUGAACCAGCCAAGUCGCGUGAGGGAUGAAGGUUCUAUGGAUCGUAAACCUCUUUUAUAAGGGAAUAAAGUGUGGGACGUGUCCUGUUUUGUAUGUACCUUAUGAAUAAGGAUCGGCUAACUCCGUUCCAGCAGCCGCGGUAAUACGGAGGAUACGAGCGUUAUCCGGAUUUAUUGGGUUUAAGGGGUGCGUAGGCGGCCUUUUAAGACAGCGGUGAAAGUCUGUGGCUCAACCAUAGAAUUGCCGUUGAAACUGGGAGGCUUGAGUAUGUGUGAGGCAGGCGGAAUGCGUGGUGUAGCGGUGAAAUGCUUAGAUAUCACGCAGAACCCCGAUUGCGAAGGCAGCCUGCCAAGCCAUGACUGACGCUGAUGCACGAAAGCGUGGGGAUCAAACAGGAUUAGAUACCCGGGUAGUC